CCUACGGGUGGCUGCAGUGAGGAAUAUUGGUCAAUGGACGAGAGUCUGAACCAGCCAAGUAGCGUGAAGGAUGACUGCCCUAUGGGUUGUAAACUUCUUUUAUAUGGGAAUAAAAUGUUCCACGUGUGUGAUUUUGUAUGUAUCAUAUGAAUAAGGAUCGGCUAACUCCUUGCCAGCAGCCGCGGUACUACGGAGGAUCCGAGCGUUAUCCGGAUUUAUUGGGUUUAAAGGGAGCGUAGGUGGUUUGUUAAGUCAGUUGUGAAAGUUUGCGGCUCAACCGUAACAUUGCAGGUGAAACUGGCAGUCUAGAGUACAGUAGAGGUGGGCGGAAUUCAUGGUGUAGCGGUGAAAUGCAUAGAGAUCACGAAGAACACCGAUUGCGAAGGCAGCUCACUGGACUACAACUGACACUGAGGCUCGAAAGUGUGGGGAGCAAACAGGAUUAGAUACCCUGGUAGUC
This 460-nucleotide ribosomal RNA is filed under the name uncultured bacterium. Its description in RNAcentral is "partial 16S ribosomal RNA". It matches the Rfam family "Bacterial small subunit ribosomal RNA", at positions 338 to 795 of the family's 1533-position model. The record is from RNAcentral.